AGAGUUUGAUCCUGGCUCAGAAUCAACGCUGGCGGCGUGCCUAACACAUGCAAGUCGAACGCGAAAGUGGAGCAAUCCAUGAGUAGAGUGGCAAACGGGUGAGUAACGCGUGGGUGACCUGCCUUCGAGUGGGGGAUAACGUUCCGAAAGGGACGCUAAUACCGCAUGACAUCCGGCCUUUGAAGAGGCGGAGAUCAAAGCUGGGGAUCGCAAGACCUAGCGCUCGAUGAGGGGCCCGCGUCUGAUUAGCUAGUUGGUGGGGUAACGGCUCACCAAGGCAACGAUCAGUAUCCGGCCUGAGAGGGCGGACGGACACACUGGGACUGAGACACGGCCCAGACUCCUACGGGAGGCAGCAGUGGGGAAUUGUUCGCAAUGGGCGCAAGCCUGACGACGCAACGCCGCGUGGAGGAUGAAGAUCUUCGGGUCGUAAACUCCUUUCGAUCGAGACGAACAGCCUUCGGGUAAACAAUCCGGAGGUUUGACGGUACCGAGAGAAGAAGCCCCGGCUAACUCCGUGCCAGCAGCCGCGGUAAUACGGGGGGGGCAAGCGUUGUUCGGAAUUACUGGGCGUAAAGGGCUCGUAGGCGGCCAACUAAGUCAGACGUGAAAUCCCUCGGCUUAACCGGGGAACUGCGUCUGAUACUGGAUGGCUUGAGUUUGGGAGAGGGAUGCGGAAUUCCAGGUGUAGCGGUGAAAUGCGUAGAUAUCUGGAGGAACACCGGUGGCGAAGGCGGCAUCCUGGACCAACACUGACGCUGAGUGAGCGAAAGCCAGGGGAGCAAACGGGAUUAGAUACCCCCGUAGUCC
Molecule: ribosomal RNA, 810 nt
Filed under: uncultured bacterium
Lineage: Bacteria
Description: bacterial SSU rRNA
Rfam family: Bacterial small subunit ribosomal RNA
Source: RNAcentral